AUCCAAGAAGAGAGUUGGGGUUGUGGAACCAGGCUGCCUAAGAAGGAGCACACCAAUUCAGGUCAGAAAUGGAGCAACUCAAAGCUACCAUUAUGAUCAGUACAGCUAGCAACACUAUGAGAAGCCCCUGCAUUUCCAGCCUAUAUUCAUCAAAAUCGAGUGGCAAGACAAAAAUCAGGAUGACUGGUGAAGGCCUGGGAUGAAGUGGAUGAUUUUGCCAUCUUCAAUGCCUGACCAAGUUCUAAGUGCUCCAUAGCCCUUGUUUCAGCUUCCUUCAUGCCAUUGGAAACAAAUUGUUUUCAUCUACCCAAGAAGACUUCACAUGCUUCGGAUAGGCAUCCCUCCUAAGUCACCAAUGAGGCAAUUUUAUUAGGAAGUAGCCAUUGGACAUGCUACAGCUUGUAAUUUAAAAUUAAAAUAAAAAAUUAAAAUCA
This is a non-coding RNA of Monodelphis domestica (gray short-tailed opossum), 434 nucleotides long. The record is from RefSeq and is a predicted model, not a curated record. NCBI's taxonomy places the organism in Eukaryota, Metazoa, Chordata, Mammalia, Didelphimorphia, Didelphidae.